This 292-nucleotide ribosomal RNA is filed under the name uncultured bacterium. Its description in RNAcentral is "partial 16S ribosomal RNA". It matches the Rfam family "Bacterial small subunit ribosomal RNA", at positions 505 to 796 of the family's 1533-position model. The record is from RNAcentral.
GUGUCAGCCGCCGCGGUAAGACAGAGGUGCCGAGCGUUAGGCGGAAUCACUGGGCUUAAAGCGUGUGUAGGCGGGUGCCUAAGUACCUUGUGAAAUCCCACGGCUCAACCGUGGAACUGCUCGGUAUACUGGGUGCCUUGAGCCAACUAGGGGCGACCGGAACAAACGGUGGAGCGGUGAAAUGCGUAGAUAUCGUUUGGAACGCCGAUGGUGAAAACAGGUCGCUGGGGUUGUGCUGACGCUGAGACACGAAAGCCAGGGGAGCGAACGGGAUUAGAUACCCCCGUAGUCC